RNAcentral lists this ribosomal RNA (255 nucleotides) under uncultured bacterium. RNAcentral's name for it is "partial 16S ribosomal RNA". It matches the Rfam family "Bacterial small subunit ribosomal RNA", at positions 524 to 776 of the family's 1533-position model. The record is from RNAcentral.
UACAGAGGUCCCAAGCGUUGUUCGGAUUCACUGGGCGUAAAGGGUGCGUAGGUGGCGGGGUAAGUCUGAUGUGAAAGCUUCGAGCUCAACUCGAAAAUGGCAUUGGAUACUAUUCUGCUAGAGGGUUGGAGGGGGGGGACUGGAAUUCUCGGUGUAGCAGUGAAAUGCGUAGAUAUCGAGAGGAACACCGGUGGCGAAGGCGAGUCCCUGGACAACACCUGACACUGAGGCACGAAAGCUAGGGGAGCAAACAGG